This 324-nucleotide long non-coding RNA is filed under the name Bos indicus x Bos taurus (hybrid cattle). RNAcentral describes it as "lncRNA (ENSBIXG00005015908.1)". The record is from RNAcentral. Lineage: Eukaryota; Metazoa; Chordata; Mammalia; Artiodactyla; Bovidae.
GCAUCUUUUCCAGAAGGCAAGAAAGGUCUUUUCCUGUUCUUUUUUUCUCUUUCAGUUGCAUUUGUGAAUAAUUUCAUAUGAGAAAGAAAGGAAAAGGAAUAUCUGGAGAUAUUCUUCAAGACACAGAGAAGACACCAUCCUGGAAAAACCAUGCUCUACUACAGAAGCAGCUAUUUACCGAAUAAAAAAAUUAUUUCACUAUUAGAAAAACCAGCUGACACAUCCUAAGAGCUCAUGUUCUUAAUAACAAAUAGAAGUUACAACCUAAGGUAAGAAUGUUAAACUAUUGAACUGAUAUGAAUUCACUUUGUAUUCAAAGAUCUA